AGUACUCACUCAGCCUAGGCUUCCAGGCCCUGCUGGGCCCUCCUAUCCACUGAAGGAAAUGGGAGAUGAGUGGGCAAUGGAAAAGCCUUUGGAGUCAAAGGUAAAUCCAUGAGUUGACCACUUAUUGCUGUGAGACCCUGGACAGCCAGAUAUAGAGUUCUUGUUCUAGCACUGGCCCUAGGAAUCCCCAGAACUGGGCCUCUUACCCACACCACUGCCUGUAAUCCACAAACCUAUGAGCACAUGGUUAAAGCAUGAGAUGUGAAACCAGGAAGAACCAGGUCUGAAUCUUAGCUCCACCAGUGGUAGCUCCAAACCUUAGUCCUUUCUGAGCCUGCUUCUUCAACCCUAAGGGAACACUACACUUCCUUAAAAAUUAAGAGUGUGUGCUACACUGCUUUACUAGAGCAAGACCAAAAGCAGCUUCAAUUAUGGUACAACUGUGUGAAGACACAAUGCAAAACCACUCAAGAAUGCUCACUCAAAUGGAUCUUUUACGAUGGAAUUCGGAAACGGGACCCAGAAAGUUGUUUCCUGCAAGUGGCUGGAACAACACAAGCAAUAAGUAUCCUGAAACAGG
RNAcentral lists this non-coding RNA (580 nucleotides) under Pongo abelii (Sumatran orangutan). The record is from RNAcentral. Lineage: Eukaryota; Metazoa; Chordata; Mammalia; Primates; Hominidae.